This 212-nucleotide ribosomal RNA is filed under the name Clostridioides difficile. RNAcentral describes it as "partial 23S ribosomal RNA". It matches the Rfam family "Bacterial large subunit ribosomal RNA", at positions 253 to 466 of the family's 2925-position model. Lineage: Bacteria; Bacillati; Bacillota; Clostridia; Peptostreptococcales; Peptostreptococcaceae. The record is from RNAcentral.
GCGAACGCGGAUUAGCCCAAACCAAUAAAGUUUUCUUUAUUGGGGUUGCGGACAUAUCAUAACGAAGAGAUAUCGUAAUUGAAGAGGUUUGGAAAGACCCACCACAGAAGGGAAUAGUCCUGUAUGUUAAACGAGAAGACUUUAGAUAUGAUCCAGAGUACCACGGGACACGUGAAACCCUGUGGGAAGCAGGAGGGACCACCCUCCAAGGC